RNAcentral lists this long non-coding RNA (1283 nucleotides) under Hordeum vulgare. RNAcentral describes it as "long non-coding RNA (HVUL_LNC014480)". Lineage: Eukaryota; Viridiplantae; Streptophyta; Magnoliopsida; Poales; Poaceae. The record is from RNAcentral.
ACAUGUUUUAUUUGAAUGUGGCCCUGUUUUAAAUAAAACAAAGGAAAAAAUAAAUUCAAAUGAGUGUGUGUAGCCUCCCACAAAUAUUUAAAAGAGGUAUUAAAUAACUUGAACAUUUUUAAUAUGGCAAAACAGAAAACUACAAAUCUGCCCUAAGUUAUUGAAAAGAAAGUUUUUUUUUUGGACUUGGUGCAACUAACACCACACUCACAAGAUCACCAAAUCACAUAUGCUAUCACACACACCAUCAAGUUGGCACCACAACACAGAUCAAACAAGAAACAAAGGAAAAGAUGAUAUGCAUGAUGCACAUGAAAUGAUACACCACAAGUCUCACAUCCAUAACAUUGCACCACAAGGUUUCCAAACAUAAAAAGGAUUACAAAGGGGGAAGGAAAAACAUUGGGGCUGUCACAUGACUGGCCUUGGACCACGCGGUGCCAUAAUAUUUGAAAAUGUUAGGGAGACUUCCCAAGUGGUACUUAUUGUACUAAACUUUUAUACUCCCUCCGUCCACGAAUAAGUGUACAUUUAUCUUUAAAAUUUGUCCAUAAAAAAGUGUACAUCUAUCUUCUCAAUGCACUAUAAAUUAGAGAAAAAAUGCUUCUCUCUCAUCACGCGGUAAUCAAGACCAAUAACAUUUAACACAUGGUCUCCUUACUUUCUACAUGCGCUUAUCUUAUUGGGUGUGGAGUAAUUAAAGAUGACAGAGAUGAUAGCUUGCAUCUUUCCAAUGCAGUUUUUUUUACUUCACUCUAUAAUCUGUCUUGAAAUUUCUAUAUGCACACUUAUUCGCGGACGGAGGGAGUACUUUGAUAAUUAGUUAAAAUACAAGCUUAUAUAGCAUGUUUUUUUUGGCUCAAACAAUAAUAAUAUUGUUAAAUAUUAGUUACAUCAUUUUUUUCAUACAAUUUUAAUGUCGACCAUUAAAAAAUACUAAAUUUAAAUCGUAUAAAUUAUUUCCCCUUUUUUAGUAAGAAGAGUCCCCUUAAAUGAGAGAAAAUAAGAACAACAAACUCUCAUGCAGCCACAAGUUAAUUCAUAACACUUGCGCAAAAUCAUAGCGUAUAGAUGUGUGUGUUUCGUAUUUUAACGCUCUUAAGUAUUCGUGAAAGUAUUAUGGCUCAACAAAUAUCUUAAUAGAAGAUUUCAGUGUAUGAUUAGAUACGAGCAAACAAGUGGUUUCUAUGCAUAGUUUAUCACAUGUUUGUUUUCUGUAGUACUGGUUUAGAGGUGGCUGUUUGUUUAAUAUUUGUGUAUUAUUAACAUAAAUAAUAUUUGGG